AAGCCUCUAGAUAGAAAAUAGGUGCCCGUACCGCAAACCGACACAGGUAGUCAAGAUGAGAAUUCUAAGGUGAGCGAGCGAACUCUCGUUAAGGAACUCGGCAAAAUGACCCCGUAACUUCGGGAGAAGGGGUGCUCUUUAGGGUUAACGCCCAGAAGAGCCGCAGUGAAUAGGCCCAAGCGACUGUUUAUCAAAAACACAGGUCUCUGCUAAACCGUAAGGUGAUGUAUAGGGGCUGACGCCUGCCCGGUGCUGGAAGGUUAAGAGGAGUGGUUAGCUUCUGCGAAGCUACGAAUCGAAGCCCCAGUAAACGGCGGCCGUAACUAUAACGGUCCUAAGGUAGCGAAAUUCCUUGUCGGGUAAGUUCCGACCCGCACGAAAGGCGUAACGAUUUGGGCACUGUCUCAACGAGAGACUCGGUGAAAUCAUAGUACCUGUGAAGAUGCAGGUUACCCGCGACAGGACGGAAAGACCCCGUGGAGCUUUACUGUAGCCUGAUAUUGAAAUUCGGCACAGCUUGUACAGGAUAGGUAGGAGCCUUUGAAACGUGAGCGCUAGCUUACGUGGAGGCGCUGGUGGGAUACUACCCUAGCUGUGUUGGCUUUCUAACCCGCACCACUUA
Molecule: ribosomal RNA, 622 nt
Filed under: Staphylococcus aureus
Lineage: Bacteria; Bacillati; Bacillota; Bacilli; Caryophanales; Staphylococcaceae
Description: partial 23S ribosomal RNA
Rfam family: Bacterial large subunit ribosomal RNA
Source: RNAcentral